This 85-nucleotide small nucleolar RNA is filed under the name Myotis lucifugus (little brown bat). RNAcentral's name for it is "Small nucleolar RNA SNORA42/SNORA80 family (ENSMLUG00000018221.1)". Lineage: Eukaryota; Metazoa; Chordata; Mammalia; Chiroptera; Vespertilionidae. The record is from RNAcentral.
CCCUGGGUCUCUCAUAGUGCCCCAUGCCAGAGCAAACUGUGACCAUGAACCAUAGCCUGCAGGCACUGAAGCAGGUUACACAGUG